Molecule: RNA transcript, 1795 nt
Organism: Nycticebus coucang (slow loris)
Lineage: Eukaryota; Metazoa; Chordata; Mammalia; Primates; Lorisidae
Gene: WTIP
Gene name: WT1 interacting protein
Exons: 10
Source: RefSeq, a predicted model, not a curated record
CCCGGCGCCGGCCCCGCCCCGCCCCGCGCCCAGGGGUCCCGGGGCGGGCUCCGGGCUUCGGGCGGACGAUGCGGCGGCGCGGCCGGAGCGGCGGCGGGAAGCGGAGGCGGAGGUGACGCGCGAGGGCCGGCGGGCCGGGCCAUGCAGCGCUCCCGGGCGGCCGCGGACGAGGCGGCCCUGCUCCUGGCCGGGCUGGCCCUGCGGGAGCUGGAGGCGGGCGGCGACUCUCCGGGCCGGGGUCGGCGGGGGCCGCGGCCUGGGCCGGGAGACGAGGCGGCGCCGGCGCUGGGCCGCAGAGGGAAGGGCGGCGUCGGCGGCCCCGAGCCCGGGCCGGACGGACCGAGCCGCGCGGAGAGAGGCCCGCGGCGCGCGGCGGCCCCCGAGCUCAGCACGCAGCCGGCGAGCAGCCCGCGGGCCAGCCUGGAGGGCUCCGACGGCGGCGGCGGCGGCGGCGGCAGCGCCCGCUCGAGCGGCAUCAGCCUGGGCUACGACCAGCGCCACGGCAGCCCGCGCCCUGGCCGCGCGGACCCGCGCCCCGGCCCCGGGCCGCCGUCGGUGGGCAGCGCCCGCUCCAGCGUGUCCAGUCUCGGCUCCCGCGGCUCGGCGGGCGCCUACGCCGACUUGCUCCUGCCUGGCGCCUGCACGGCGCCGGCUCGCUCCCCGGAGCCCGCCGGGCCGGUCCCCUUCCCUUUGCCUUCGCUGCAGCUGUCCGCGGCCCGGGAGGGCGGCCCGAGCGCGGCCGAGCGGCGUCUGGAGACGCUUACCCGGGAGCUGGAGCGGGCGCUGGAGGCGCGCGCGGCGCGGGACUACUUCGGCAUUUGCAUCAAGUGUGGGCUCGGCAUCUACGGGGCAAGGCAGGCGUGCCAGGCCAUGGGCGGCCUCUACCACACGGACUGCUUCACCUGUGACUCCUGUGGGAGACGGCUCCGCGGGAAGGCGUUCUACAACGUGGGUGACAAAGUGUACUGCCAGGAGGACUUCCUGUACUCCGGGUUCCAGCAAACAGCUGACAAGUGUAGCGUGUGUGGACACCUCAUCAUGGAGAUGAUCCUGCAGGCCCUGGGCAAGUCCUACCACCCAGGCUGCUUCCGGUGCUCUGUAUGCAACGAGUGCCUGGAUGGGGUGCCUUUCACCGUGGACGUGGAGAACAACAUCUACUGUGUCAGAGACUAUCACUCGGUUUUUGCACCAAAAUGUGCCUCCUGUGCCCGUCCUAUCCUCCCUGCACAGGGCUGUGAGACAACCAUCCGUGUAGUGUCCAUGGACAGAGACUACCACGUGGAAUGUUACCACUGUGAGGACUGCGGGCUGCAGCUGAGCGGGGAGGAUGGACGCCGCUGCUACCCCCUGGCGGGCCACCUGCUGUGCCGCCGCUGCCACCUGCGACGCGUCCGGCCAGGCCCACUGCCCUCGCCCACAGUACACGUCACCGAGCUCUGAAGAGCCGGCAGAAGCUUGCCCUGCUUUCGACGAAGUCUUUGCUGCACUUGGCCUUGGAGACAAGCACCUGUUGGACGCCGUCCUCAAAGAGUUCAAGGCUACCGAACCAGAAAUAACAGCCUUUGAAAAAGUCCAGGAAUGUUUCAAUGAGGGGGGUAUCAAAGGCAAGACGCUGGAUACGUUCAGCAUGGGCUCCAUUGCCUUUAGUCCAGAAUGCCUCAGCUUCGCAGGAAAAGAGCUAAAGGAAGAUGUCAAAAAAGGACUUUCCAAACUGAACCCUUUUUCGAGAUGAAUCUUUGUCACUCAUGCCUGAUGUGAGCACCAUCUUCCUGCCAUGCUCUCCAUCCCACCUGAA